This 464-nucleotide ribosomal RNA is filed under the name uncultured bacterium. RNAcentral's name for it is "bacterial SSU rRNA". It matches the Rfam family "Bacterial small subunit ribosomal RNA", at positions 1002 to 1466 of the family's 1533-position model. The record is from RNAcentral.
AGAGAUGGCUUGGUGCUCGAAAGAGAACCGUAACACAGGUGCUGCAUGGCUGUCGCCAGCUCGUGUCGUGAGAUGUUGGGUUAAGUCCCGCAACGAGCGCAACCCUUGUCAUUAGUUGCUACAUUUGGUUGGGCACUCUAAUGAGACUGCCGGUGACAAACCGGAGGAAGGUGGGGAUGACGUCAAGUCCUCAUGGCCCUUAUAGGUAGGGCUACACACGUCAUACAAUGGAUGGUACAGAGGGUCGCCAACCCGCGAGGGGGAGCUAAUCCCAUAAAACCAUUCGUAGUCCGGAUCGCAGUCUGCAACUCGACUGCGUGAAGUCGGAAUCGCUAGUAAUCGCGGAUCAGAAUGUCGCGGUGAAUACGUUCCCGGGUCUUGUACACACCGCCCGUCACACCAUGGGAGCGGGUUCUGCCAGAAGUAGUUAGCCUAACCGCAAGGAGGGCGAUUACCACGGCAGG